Molecule: ribosomal RNA, 511 nt
Filed under: Paenibacillaceae bacterium CL2.44
Lineage: Bacteria; Bacillati; Bacillota; Bacilli; Caryophanales; Paenibacillaceae
Description: bacterial SSU rRNA
Rfam family: Bacterial small subunit ribosomal RNA
Source: RNAcentral
AUCCCUGGCUCAGGACGAACGCUGGCGGCGUGCCUAAUACAUGCAAGUCGAGCGGGAUUAUAUCAGAAGCUUGCUUCUGAUAUAAUCUAGCGGCGGACGGGUGAGUAACACGUAGGCAACCUGCCCACAAGGCUGGGAUAACUACCGGAAACGGUAGCUAAUACCGGAUACAUCGUUUCCCUGCAUGGGGAGAUGAGGAAAGGCGGAGCAAUCUGUCACUUGUGGAUGGGCCUGCGGCGCAUUAGCUAGUUGGUGGGGUAAUGGCCUACCAAGGCGACGAUGCGUAGCCGACCUGAGAGGGUGAUCGGCCACACUGGGACUGAGACACGGCCCAGACUCCUACGGGAGGCAGCAGUAGGGAAUCUUCCGCAAUGGGCGAAAGCCUGACGGAGCAACGCCGCGUGAGUGAUGAAGGUUUUCGGAUCGUAAAGCUCUGUUGCCAGGGAAGAACGUCUUGUAGAGUAACUGCUAUGAGAGUGACGGUACCUGAGAAGAAAGCCCCCGGCUAACU